UGGCCUGUCCAGGUCCACUGAAGGUCCUCCAAAGCCUUGCCGGGGUGAGGGUCGCUGUGAUGUGGCAUGCUGCUGCCACACAGCCUGCCUUCAGAGGCACCAGGGAGCAAGACGCUGUCGGGAUGGUAAAGGAGGGCAUCUCUGCAGGCAAACAGGGACUCCAACUGCUGACCUCAGGUUCUGACUCCCUUAGCCUUGCUGGCAGGGACACAUCUGACUGCCCACUCUGUGGGCAGCCACAGAAACAUCUGGCUGGGCUCCUUUUGUCCCCGCCUCUCCCCCACCCCACCCCACCCCCCACACACACCCACUUCCCACAGGAGUGUGAAGAGCUUGACACACCUCUGUCUAUUCGGUUUCUAAUCCAAUGCCCUUCCUGGUUUCCUUUGAUGGAGGCAUAGGUAAACCUGGGCUGUUUUCCCAGUCAACUUUGAUGGCUAACGUGGGCAAGGAGACUCAGCACAGACAAGAGAACCUGGCGGCAGGGAUGGCGGUGCCUCCCACACAUUGCCUUUGCCCCGAUUGCCUUGGCAUCUUGGCAUUUAUGACCUUGGUAUGACCUUCAUCUUGCUGGUGACAGCACUGGUCCUUGGGGACUCCUGGACUUUCAGAAAGUGACUUCAUCCCCUC
This 630-nucleotide long non-coding RNA is filed under the name Rattus norvegicus (Norway rat). RNAcentral describes it as "long non-coding RNA NONRATT022311". Lineage: Eukaryota; Metazoa; Chordata; Mammalia; Rodentia; Muridae. The record is from RNAcentral.